This 301-nucleotide ribosomal RNA is filed under the name uncultured bacterium. Its description in RNAcentral is "partial 16S ribosomal RNA". It matches the Rfam family "Bacterial small subunit ribosomal RNA", at positions 509 to 807 of the family's 1533-position model. The record is from RNAcentral.
CAGUCGCCGCGGGAAUACGUAGGUGGCAAGCGUUGUCCGGAAUUAUUGGGCGUAAAGGGCUCGCAGGCGGUUUCUUAAGUCUGAUGUGAAAGCCCCCGGCUCAACCGGGGAGGGUCAUUGGAAACUGGGAAACUUGAGUGCAGAAGAGGAGAGUGGAAUUCCACGUGUAGCGGUGAAAUGCGCAGAGAUGUGGAGGAACACCAGUGGCGAAGGCGACUCUCUGGUCUGUAACUGACGCUGAGGAGCGAAAGCGUGGGGAGCGAACAGGAUUAGAUACCCCCGUAGUCCCUGUCUCUUAUAC